RNAcentral lists this transfer RNA (80 nucleotides) under Phocaeicola coprophilus. RNAcentral's name for it is "Bacteroides coprophilus tRNA-Asn". It matches the Rfam family "tRNA". Rfam says of the family: Transfer RNA (tRNA) molecules are approximately 80 nucleotides in length. Their secondary structure includes four short double-helical elements and three loops (D, anti-codon, and T loops). The record is from RNAcentral. Lineage: Bacteria; Pseudomonadati; Bacteroidota; Bacteroidia; Bacteroidales; Bacteroidaceae.
UGCAGAAUAGUUCAGCAGGUAGAACACUAAGAUAUUGCUUUUUUGUAUUGUCCCCGGUUCGAGUCCGGGUUCUGCAACAA